UUGCCGCACCAAAUGCCCGGCGUGGACAGCGAAUGGAACCCAUACGGUGUGUAAAGUGCUUUGUACGGAAACGAAAGCCGGGGCUCAUAUCCCCAGGUCAUGACGGUACCGUAAGAAUAAGCACCGGCUAACUACGUGCCAGCAGCCGCGGUAAUACGUAGGGUGCAAGCGUUGUUCGGAAUUACUGGGCGUAAAGCGUGCGCAGGCGGUUUUGUAAGACAGUGGUGAAAUCCCCGGGCUCAACCUGGGGACUGCCAUUGUGACUGCAAGCUAGAGUGCGGCAGAGGGGGAUGGAAUUCCGCGUGUAGCAGUGAAAUGCGUAGAUAUGCGGAGGAACACCGAUGGCGAAGGCGAUUCCCCUGGGCCUGCACUGACGCUCAUGCACGAAAGCGUGGGGAGCGAACAGGAUUAGAUACCCUGGUAGUCCACGC
This 431-nucleotide ribosomal RNA is filed under the name uncultured bacterium. Its description in RNAcentral is "bacterial SSU rRNA". It matches the Rfam family "Bacterial small subunit ribosomal RNA", at positions 379 to 800 of the family's 1533-position model. The record is from RNAcentral.